RNAcentral lists this ribosomal RNA (274 nucleotides) under uncultured bacterium. RNAcentral describes it as "partial 16S ribosomal RNA". It matches the Rfam family "Archaeal small subunit ribosomal RNA", at positions 473 to 747 of the family's 1478-position model. The record is from RNAcentral.
AAACCGGCACCUCAAGUGGUCAGGAUGAUUAUUGGGCCUAAAGCAUCCGUAGCCGGCUCUGUAAGUUUUCGGUUAAAUCUGUACGCUCAACGUACAGGCUGUCGGGAAUACUGCAGAGCUAGGGAGUGGGAGAGGUAGACGGUACUCGGGAGGAAGUGGUAAAAUGCUUUGAUCUCUCGAUGACCACCUGUGGCGAAGGCGGUCUACCAGAACACGUCCGACGGUGAGGGAUGAAAGCUGGGGGAGCAAACCGGAUUAGAAACCCCUGUAGUCC